CUAAAUUUCAUGCGGAUCCUCACCUACUCACCUUGUGAAGAAACACUUUUUCCAAGUAAGGGCCAGGCUAAGAGAGAACCUUGAGCAGCGGUACCCAACUGUGGUGCUGACCCUCCUGGGCAACCUGGAGCUCUGUCGGAAGAGGAUUCAACCUAAAUGCCAGUUCAGAAGCAAGUCCGUGAGAUGACUGGGGG
Long non-coding RNA from Xenopus tropicalis (tropical clawed frog), 194 nucleotides. RefSeq lists it as uncharacterized. The transcript is spliced from 3 exons. The record is from RefSeq and is a predicted model, not a curated record. NCBI's taxonomy places the organism in Eukaryota, Metazoa, Chordata, Amphibia, Anura, Pipidae.